Molecule: transfer RNA, 71 nt
Filed under: Heterocephalus glaber (naked mole-rat)
Lineage: Eukaryota; Metazoa; Chordata; Mammalia; Rodentia; Bathyergidae
Rfam family: tRNA
About the family: Transfer RNA (tRNA) molecules are approximately 80 nucleotides in length.
Source: Rfam by way of RNAcentral
GGGGAUAUAGCUCAGUGGUAGAGCACUUGCCUAGCAUGAUACGUCCCUGGGUUCAAUCCCCAGUACUGCAA